Maniola jurtina (meadow brown) is the source of this 128-nucleotide long non-coding RNA. RefSeq lists it as uncharacterized. The record is from RefSeq and is a predicted model, not a curated record. The transcript is spliced from 4 exons. NCBI's taxonomy places the organism in Eukaryota, Metazoa, Arthropoda, Insecta, Lepidoptera, Nymphalidae.
UAUAGAAACAAUUAAGAUAACUAAUAUGUGUGUGUGGCGUGUUUAUAGAAAACGGUUAUAAGUGUGACUGGUUCUUAAUGUAAUAGUUUCACGGAGUUGCUACUCGAAUUCUGAGGCCGACCGUACAU